CGCUGGCGGCGUGCCUAACACAUGCAAGUCGAGCGGGAGACUUCGGUCCCUAGCGGCGGACGGGUGAGUAACACGUGGGUAACCUGCCUUAUAGAGGGGGAUAGCCUUCCGAAAGGAAGAUUAAUACCGCAUAAUAUGUUUGUAUCGCAUGGUAUAGACAUCAAAGGAGCAAUCCGCUAUAAGAUGGACCCGCGGCGCAUUAGCUAGUUGGAGAGGUAACGGCUCACCAAGGCGACGAUGCGUAGCCGACCUGAGAGGGUGAUCGGCCACAUUGGAACUGAGACACGGUCCAGACUCCUACGGGAGGCAGCAGUGGGGAAUAUUGCGCAAUGGGGGAAACCCUGACGCAGCAACGCCGCGUGAAUGAAGAAGGCCUUAGGGUUGUAAAGUUCUGUUUUCUGGGACGAUAAUGACGGUACCAGAGGAGGAAGCCACGGCUAACUACGUGCCAGCAGCCGCGGUAAUACGUAGGUGGCAAGCGUUGUCCGGAUUUACUGGGCGUAAAGGAUGCGUAGGCGGAUGUUUAAGUGAGAUGUGAAAUACCCGAGCUCAACUUGGGUGCUGCAUUUCAAACUGGAUAUCUAGAGUGCAGGAGAGGAAAGCGGAAUUCCUAGUGUAGCGGUGAAAUGCGUAGAGAUUAGGAAGAACACCAGUGGCGAAGGCGGCUUUCUGGACUGUAACUGACGCUGAGGCAUGAAAGCGUGGGGAGCAAACAGGAUUAGAUACCCUGGUAGUCCACGCCGUGAACGAUGAAUACUAGGUGUAGGAGGUAUCGACUCCUUCUGUGCCGCAGUUAACACAAUAAGUAUUCCGCCUGGGGAGUACGGUC
RNAcentral lists this ribosomal RNA (829 nucleotides) under uncultured bacterium. RNAcentral's name for it is "bacterial SSU rRNA". It matches the Rfam family "Bacterial small subunit ribosomal RNA", at positions 34 to 887 of the family's 1533-position model. The record is from RNAcentral.